GCAAAAAAAAAAAAAAAAAAGAACCGUUCCCCUGGGCCUCUCAUAGUGUCCCAUGCCAAAGCAAGCGUGGCCCUGAACCGUUGCCUGGCCCUUGCCAGGCCACUGAAGUGGGUCGUAUAGUG
This 122-nucleotide small nucleolar RNA is filed under the name Sorex araneus (European shrew). Its description in RNAcentral is "Small nucleolar RNA SNORA42/SNORA80 family (ENSSARG00000016445.1)". The record is from RNAcentral. Lineage: Eukaryota; Metazoa; Chordata; Mammalia; Eulipotyphla; Soricidae.